GUAGGGAAUAUUGCACAAUGGAGGAAACUCUGAUGUAGCGACGCCGCGUGAGUGAUGAAGGCCUUCGGGUCGUAAAACUCUGUGAUAAGGGAAGAUGAUGACGGUACCUUAUCAGAAAAGACCGGCUAACUUCGUGCCAGCAGCCGCGGUAAUACGAGGGGUCUAAGCGUUGUUCGGAAUCACUGGGCGUAAAGCGGGUGUAGGUGGCUAUGCAAGUUGGAUGUGACAGCCCCGGGCUCAACACGGGAAGUGCAUCCAAAACUACGUAGCUUGAGUGCGGGAGAGAAAGGCAGAAUUCCUGGUGUAGUGGUGAAAUACGUAGAUAUCAGGAGGAACUCCGGUGGCGAAGGCGGCCUUUUGGCCCAGCACUGACACUCAGACCCGAAAGCGUGGGUAGCAAACAGGAUUAGAUACCCUGGUAGUCC
Molecule: ribosomal RNA, 425 nt
Filed under: uncultured bacterium
Lineage: Bacteria
Description: partial 16S ribosomal RNA
Rfam family: Bacterial small subunit ribosomal RNA
Source: RNAcentral